RNAcentral lists this ribosomal RNA (468 nucleotides) under uncultured archaeon. Its description in RNAcentral is "bacterial SSU rRNA". It matches the Rfam family "Archaeal small subunit ribosomal RNA", at positions 1 to 474 of the family's 1478-position model. The record is from RNAcentral.
UUUCCGGUUGAUCCCGCCAGACCUGACUGCUAUCGGAUUGAUACUAAGCCAUGCGAGUCUUUGUAGUAAUACAAGGCAGACGGCUCAGUAACACGUAGUCAACCUACCCUAUGGACGAGAAUAAUCUCGGGAAACUGAGCAUAAUUCUUGAUAGAUCAUAAUGCCUGGAAUGGUUUAUGGUUAAAAUGAUUCGUCGCCAUAGGAUGGGACUGCGGCCUAUCAGCUUGUUGGUGAGGUAAUGGCCCACCAAGGCGAUUACAGGUACGGGCUCUGAGAGGAGAAGCCCGGAGAUGGGUACUGAGACACGGACCCAGGCCCUAUGGGGCGCAGCAGGCGAGAAAACUUUGCAAUGUGCGAAAGCACGACAAGGUUAAUCCGAGUGAUUUCUGCUAAAGAAAUCUUUUGCCAGUCGUAAAACCGCUGGUGAAUAAGGGGUGGGCAAGUUCUGGUGCCAGCAGCCGCGGUAAU